GACGAACGCUGGCGGAGGGCGGAACACAUGCAAGUCGAACGGAAAGGCCCUGCUUUUGUGGGGUGCUCGAGUGGCGAACGGGUGAGUAACACGUGAGUAACCUGCCCUUGACUUUGGGAUAACUUCAGGAAACUGGGGCUAAUACCGGAUAGGAGCUCCUGCUGCAUGGUGGGGGUUGGAAAGUUUCGGCGGUUGGGGAUGGACUCGCGGCUUAUCAGCUUGUUGGUGGGGUAGUGGCUUACCAAGGCUUUGACGGGUAGCCGGCCUGAGAGGGUGACCGGCCACAUUGGGACUGAGAUACGGCCCAGACUCCUACGGGAGGCAGCAGUGGGGAAUAUUGCACAAUGGGCGGAAGCCUGAUGCAGCAACGCCGCGUGCGGGAUGACGGCCUUCGGGUUGUAAACCGCUUUCGCCUGUGACGAAGCGUGAGUGACGGUAAUGGGUAAAGAAGCACCGGCUAACUACGUG
This 468-nucleotide ribosomal RNA is filed under the name uncultured bacterium. RNAcentral describes it as "partial 16S ribosomal RNA". It matches the Rfam family "Bacterial small subunit ribosomal RNA", at positions 28 to 507 of the family's 1533-position model. The record is from RNAcentral.